This 500-nucleotide ribosomal RNA is filed under the name uncultured bacterium. Its description in RNAcentral is "partial 16S ribosomal RNA". It matches the Rfam family "Bacterial small subunit ribosomal RNA", at positions 30 to 523 of the family's 1533-position model. The record is from RNAcentral.
AUUGAACGCUGGCGGAAUGCUUUACACAUGCAAGUCGAACGGCAGCACGGACUUCGGUCUGGUGGCGAGUGGCGAACGGGUGAGUAAUGUAUCGGAACGUGCCCAGUCGUGGGGGAUAACGUAGUGAAAAUUACGCUAAUACCGCAUACGAUCUAUGGAUGAAAGCGGGGGAUCGCAAGACCUCGCGCGAUUGGAACGGCCGAUAUCAGAUUCGGUAGUUGGUGGGGUAAAGGCCCACCAAGCCAACGAUCUGUAGCUGGUCUGAGAGGACGACCAGCCACACUGGAACUGAGACACGGUCCAGACUCCUACGGGAGGCAGCAGUGGGGAAUUUUGGACAAUGGGCGAAAGCCUGAUCCAGCCAUUCCGCGUGCAGGAUGAAGGCCCUCGGGUUAUAAACUGCUUUUGUACAGAACGAAAAGGUUUCUACUAAUACUAGGAGCUCAUGACGGUACUGUAAGAAUAAGCACCGGCUAACUACGUGCCAGCCGCCGCGGUAA